RNAcentral lists this ribosomal RNA (23 nucleotides) under Zoothamnium arbuscula. RNAcentral describes it as "partial 5.8S ribosomal RNA". The record is from RNAcentral. Lineage: Eukaryota; Ciliophora; Oligohymenophorea; Sessilida; Zoothamnidae.
GUUGAAGAACGCAGCGAAAUGCG